GGGCUAUAGCCUUGGGGGGUGGGGCUGCCCAACUUCGUCCGCCCGACUCGGAAUGGCGUGAGACUUUGCGAGGGGCCUCCGUGUGCCAAAAAUAGGCUGCGGGCAAAGCCACGCCCAAAAAUAACCGCCCGAAGGCCGGGGCGCCAAGUUCGUCCAGCGGAAACAGGCCACAAAAACGGGUGGGCUAUAGCCUUGGGGGGUGGGGCUGGCCAACUUCGUCCGCCGGACUCGGAAUGCCGCGAGACUUUGCGAGGGCCCUCCAUGUGCAUAAAAUAGCCCACGGACAAAGCUACGCCCAAAAAUAACCGCCCGAUGGCCGGGGCGCAAGUUCGUCCCGCGGAAAAAGGCCACAAAAACGGGUGGGCUAUAGCCUUGGGGGGUGGGGCUGGCCCACAUCGUCCGCCGGACUCGGAAUGCCGCGAGACUUUGCGAGGGUCCUCCGUGUGCAUAAAAUAGGCUGCGGACAAAGCUGCGCCCAAAAAUAACCGCCCGAAGGCCGGGGCGCCAAGUUUGUCCAGCGGAAAAAGGCCACAAAAACGGGUGGGCUAUAGCCUUGGGGGGUGGGGCUGGCCAACUUCGUCCGCCGGACUCGGAAUGCCGCGAGACUUUGCGAGGGCCCUCCGUGUGCAUAAAAUAGGCCGCGGAAAAAGCUACGCCCAAAAAUAACCACCCGAAGGCCGGGGCGCCAAGUUCGUCCAGCGGAAAAAGGCCACAAAAACGGGUGGGCUAUAUCCUUGUGGCGUGGCGCUGGCCAACUUCGUCCGCCGGACCCGGAAUGCCGCGACACUUUGCUAGGGGCCUCCGUGUGCCAAAAUUAGGCCGCGGGCAAAGCCGCGCCCAAAAAUAACUGCCCGAAGGCCGGGGCGCCAAGUUCGUCCCGCGGAAAAAGGCCACAAAAACGGGUGGGCUAUAGCCUUGGGGGGUGGGGCUGGCCAACAUCGUCCGCCGGACUCGGAAUGCCGCGAGACUUUGCGAGGGUCCUCCGUGUGCAUAAAAUAGGCUGCGGACAAAGCUGCGCCCAAAAAUAACCGCCCGAAGGCCGGGGCGCCAAGUUCGUCCAGCAGAAAAAGACCACAAAAACGGGUGGGCUAUAGCCUUGGGGGGUGGGGCUGCCCAACUUCGUCUGCCCGACUCGGAAUGGCGUGAGACUUUGCGAGGGGCCUCCGUGUGCCAAAAAUAGGCUGCGGGCAAAGCCACGCCCAAAAAUAACCGCCCGAAGGCCGGGGCGCCAAGUUCGUCCAGCGGAAACAGGCCACAAAAACGGGUGGGCUAUAGCCUUGGGGGGUGGGGCUGGCCAACUUCGUCCGCCGGACUCGGAAUGCCGCGAGACUUUGCGAGGGCCCUCCAUGUGCAUAAAAUAGCCCGC
This 1366-nucleotide long non-coding RNA is filed under the name Citrus x clementina. RNAcentral's name for it is "Citrus clementina (C. clementina) long non-coding RNA (CCLE_LNC003178)". The record is from RNAcentral. Lineage: Eukaryota; Viridiplantae; Streptophyta; Magnoliopsida; Sapindales; Rutaceae.